RNAcentral lists this ribosomal RNA (402 nucleotides) under uncultured prokaryote. Its description in RNAcentral is "bacterial SSU rRNA". It matches the Rfam family "Bacterial small subunit ribosomal RNA", at positions 355 to 774 of the family's 1533-position model. The record is from RNAcentral.
UAGGGAAUAUUGGUAAUGGGCGAAAGCCUGAACUAGCAACACCGCGUGUGCGAAGAAGGCCUUCGGGUUGUAAAGCACUUUUUGAGAGGAUGAGGAAGGACGGUACUCUCAGAAUAAGUCUCGGCUAACUACGUGCCAGCAGCCGCGGUAACACGUAGGAGGCAAACGUUAUCCGGAUUUACUGGGCGUAAAGCGCGUGUAGGUGGUUUGGUAAGUAGAGCGUGAAAGCUCCUGGCUCAACUGGGAGAGGUCGUUCUAAACUGCCGGACUAGAGGAUGGUAGAGGGAGGUGGAAUUCCGAGUGUAGUGGUGGAAUGCGCAGAUAUCCGGAGGAACACCAGUGGCGAAAGCGGCCUCCUGGACCAUUCCUGACACUCAGACGCGAAAGCUAGGGUAGCAAACG